RNAcentral lists this ribosomal RNA (215 nucleotides) under Glomeromycotina sp. RNAcentral describes it as "partial small subunit ribosomal RNA". The stretch from base 40 to 215 matches the Rfam family "Eukaryotic small subunit ribosomal RNA", at positions 686 to 864 of the family's 1831-position model. The record is from RNAcentral. Lineage: Eukaryota; Fungi; Glomeromycota.
GGGUCAGUAGGUUGGUCGUGCCACCGGUACGUACUGGUCUCACUGAUUCCUCCUUCCUGAAGAACCGUAAUGCCAUUAAUUUGGUGUUGCGGGGAAACAGGACUGUUACUUUGAAAAAUUAGAGUGUUUAAAGCAAGCUAACGCUUGAAUACAUUAGCAUGGAAUAAUGAUAUAGGAUGAUCGAUCCUAUUUUGUUGGUUUCUAGGAUUGACGUA